GACGAACGCUGGCGGCGUGCUUAACACAUGCAAGUCGAGCGAUGAAGCACCUUCGGGUGUGGAUUAGCGGCGAACGGGUGAGGAACACGUGAGGAAUCUGCCUUUCACUUCGGGAUAACUCCGGGAAACCGGGGCUAAUACCGGAUAUUUUCAACUGGCGGCAUCGCCGGUUGAAGACAGUUUUUCGGUGAAAGAUGACCUCGCGGCCUAUCAGCUUGUUGGUGAGGUAAUGGCUCACCAAGGCGGCGACGGGUAGCCGGCCUGAGAGGGCGACCGGCCCCACUGGGACUGAGACACGGCCCAGACUCCUACGGGAGGCAGCAGUGGGAAUAUUGGGCAAUGGAGGAAACUCUGACCCAGCGACGCCGCGUGAGGGAUGAAGGCCUUCGGGUUGUAAACCUCUUUCAGCGGGGAAUAAACGAAAGUGAAGGUACCUGCAGAAGAAGCACCGGCUAACUAUGUGCCAGCAGCCGCCGUAA
RNAcentral lists this ribosomal RNA (479 nucleotides) under uncultured bacterium. Its description in RNAcentral is "partial 16S ribosomal RNA". It matches the Rfam family "Bacterial small subunit ribosomal RNA", at positions 28 to 523 of the family's 1533-position model. The record is from RNAcentral.